AUGACUGAAGAAGAAGUCAGACAGUCUUGGAUGUCAGCAAAUUUCAUCACAAUGAAGGCGCUUUAAACUGAAAGAAUUGAACAAGGUCAGGUUGCAGCAACUCCACCGACUGCAUGACCUGUCAUAGAUGAAUUCUCUCACUGUCCUUCUUAUUUUGUCUCUGAGUUCAGCAUCUACAGGCUUAAAAGAGAUAAAUGUGCAGGCAGACAGGAACGCCCAGCUGGAGUGUCAGGGUCCUAAAAAAGGCAAAAUUGUCCUGUUAGAGUGGAAAAGACUCGAUCUGCUGUCGGAUGGAUAUGUCUUCUUCUACCGAGAUGGUCAUCUGCAUAAAACCUUCCAGCAUCCUAUUUUUAGAGAUGGAGUGGAACUGAGAGAUCCGCAGAUGAAAAAUGGAGACAUGGCCAUCAUUUUGUACAACACCACCAUUAAAGACUCUGGGACGUAUGAGUGCCGUAUCAUCACACAAAACACGAGACAGUAGCAGCCCUACCUUUGAGAUCAAGCAUGAAAUCAGGCUGACAGUUGUUCCUCCAGGUCAACCAAAGAAAGUCACAGUGGUUAGAGAUGAGGAGAAUGGAAGUAAGGAUGUUGGGAAUGAGGAUGGAAGAGAAGGAGGAUUUAUUGGACUGGCAAGUGGUCUGCCAGUUUUGGUGGUGAUUCUUAUUUUUGUGUUGUCUUACAAACUAAGAAAAGCCUGUUGUGAUUAAAAAAAGAAAACAAGAUUUGACUAAGAACAAACUAUAAUCGGUAGUAUAAUUGCUGUCAUUAGUAAUAAUGCUAGCAAAUAUGCUAGCAUUUUUAUUAAGGAAACACCAGGGUGACUGAUUGCAUGUACAUGUUUAAAGAUUUGAAAAAGUAGAAACAAACAAAUGAAAGCAAACAGAGUGAGUUGUCUGGAGCGUUCAGCUCCUGGUAGGGUCUCAAUGACAAACAGGUCCCAGGUUAUAAGCUAGACUAAGAGUAAUUCAUACACUGCAGUAUUUACAAUUCACACUGUAAACGUUCAUAUUUUACUCUUAAAUUCAUUCACUAACAUGGUGUAAAAAGAAAUUCUUUACUUGUUGUUGAACUAUGAUUUAGUAAAAAUGAGUUCUACCCAGUUGGAGAGGAGUGGAAGAGAGUGGAGAGAGAGAGAGAGAGAGAGAGAGAGAGAGAGAGAGAGAGAGAGACAACAACAUAACAAAAACCCAGCUGACAUCAAUGGGGAGGCAUGAAGGAUCAUGACAUCUGCCUGUUCAUCACUGGGAUGAGAAAGUGUUGCAGCUCUGUCUGACAAAUCCACACUAUAGUAAAGAAGCACUAAGGAAAAACUGCAAAUAUACACAUUGUUCAAAUGAUUUGAUAUCUUUCACAAAAGAUAUGUUUGAGAAGUUAUGGGCCAACAACAGUUUAAAUACUGGAAAUAACUUUUUGGCACGACUUGUAGAUAUUAUUAUUUUUUUAAUCUAGCUAAAAUCCCAUAUAUAUAGCUGUGGUUCAUGUUUUAGCAUUUUUCAUGUUUUCGUGUCAAAAUGUGUAUAACUGGCUCAGCAUAUGCCACAAGGUAAUUUCUAUUGGGUCAAAAAAAAAAACAAGUCCUCAGAAGUGGUCUUAUUUUUUUUCCUUUCUAAUCCUACACUCGCCACUACGGAAGAGAAUUAGGGCCACUGGAAAAACAAAAAAAAGUGGCCAUGUCUUUUUUUGUUUUGUUUUUUUCCAGAAUUCUGAAAAAGUGGCCCUAAUCCUCUUCCAUAUCAAAUUUGAUAAAUAAAUGAAUUUU
Molecule: long non-coding RNA, 1759 nt
Organism: Oreochromis niloticus (Nile tilapia)
Lineage: Eukaryota; Metazoa; Chordata; Actinopteri; Cichliformes; Cichlidae
Exons: 4
Source: RefSeq, a predicted model, not a curated record